UAGAAAGUGGUGUAGAGGAUGCACGAGGAGUUUUGAUCUCUUUAGGUUGGGUUCAAAUCCCAUCUUUUUAA
This 71-nucleotide transfer RNA is filed under the name Atlantirivulus haraldsiolii. Its description in RNAcentral is "tRNA-Gln". It matches the Rfam family "tRNA". From Rfam's summary of the family: Transfer RNA (tRNA) molecules are approximately 80 nucleotides in length. Their secondary structure includes four short double-helical elements and three loops (D, anti-codon, and T loops). Further hydrogen bonds mediate the characteristic L-shaped molecular structure. tRNAs have two regions of fundamental functional importance: the anti-codon, which is responsible for specific mRNA codon recognition, and the 3' end, to which the tRNAs corresponding amino acid is attached (by aminoacyl-tRNA synthetases). tRNAs cope with the degeneracy of the genetic code in two manners: having more than one tRNA (with a specific anti-codon) for a particular amino acid; and 'wobble' base-pairing, i.e. permitting non-standard base-pairing at the 3rd anti-codon position. The record is from RNAcentral. Lineage: Eukaryota; Metazoa; Chordata; Actinopteri; Cyprinodontiformes; Rivulidae.